ACUCCUACGGGAGGCAGCAGUGGGGAAUAUUGCACAAUGGGCGCAAGCCUGAUGCAGCCAUGCCGCGUGUGUGAAGAAGGCCUUCGGGUUGUAAAGCACUUCAGUCGUGAGGAAGGUAGUGUAGUUAAUAGCUGCAUUAUUUGACGUUAGCGACAGAAGAAGCACCGGCUAACUCCGUGCCAGCAGCCGCGGUAAUACGGAGGGUGCGAGCGUUAAUCGGAAUUACUGGGCGUAAAGCGCAUGCAGGUGGUUGUUAAGUCAGAUGUGAAAGCCCGGGGCUCAACCUCGGAAUAGCAUUUGAAACUGGCAGACUAGAGUACUGGUAGAGGGGGUAGAAUUUCAGGUGUAGCGGUGAAAUGCGUAGAGAUCUGAAGGAUACCGGU
RNAcentral lists this ribosomal RNA (383 nucleotides) under uncultured bacterium. RNAcentral's name for it is "bacterial SSU rRNA". It matches the Rfam family "Bacterial small subunit ribosomal RNA", at positions 335 to 713 of the family's 1533-position model. The record is from RNAcentral.